This 355-nucleotide ribosomal RNA is filed under the name uncultured bacterium. RNAcentral describes it as "partial 16S ribosomal RNA". It matches the Rfam family "Bacterial small subunit ribosomal RNA", at positions 338 to 704 of the family's 1533-position model. The record is from RNAcentral.
CCUACGGGUGGCAGCAGUAGGGAAUUUUCGGCAAUGGGGGGAACCCUGACCGAGCAACGCCGCGUGAACGAAGACGUUAUUCGUAAUGUACAGUUCUUUUAACAGGGAAGAAAGAGAAAUUUGACGGUACCUGAAGAAUAAGCUCCGGCUAACUACGUGCCAGCAGCCGCGGUAAUACGUAGGGAGCGAGCGUUAUUCGGAAUUAUUGGUCGUAAAGGGUUCGUAGAUGGCAUAGUAAGUCUUUUGUAAAAAUGCUGGGCUCAACACAGUAGGGCAAAAGAUACUGCAAAGAUAGAGUAUGACAGAGGCAAGUGGAACUACAGGGGGAGCGGUAAGAGGCGUAAAUAUAUGUAAG